GACGAACGCUGGCGGCGUGCCUAACACAUGCAAGUCGAGCGGAGAUUGCAGCAAUGUAAUCUUAGCGGCGGACGGGUGAGUAACGCGUGGGCAACCUACCUGUAACUGGGGGAUAACACAGGGAAACUUGUGCUAAUACCGCAUAACAUCACGAGAUGACAUCAUUUUGUGAUCAAAGGAGCAAUCCGGUGAUAGAUGGGCCCGCGUCCGAUUAGCUAGUUGGUGAGGUAAUGGCCCACCAAGGCGACGAUCGGUAGCCGAACUGAGAGGUUGAUCGGCCACAUUGGGACUGAGACACGGCCCAGACACCUACGGGAGGCUG
RNAcentral lists this ribosomal RNA (322 nucleotides) under uncultured Bacillota bacterium. RNAcentral's name for it is "bacterial SSU rRNA". It matches the Rfam family "Bacterial small subunit ribosomal RNA", at positions 28 to 351 of the family's 1533-position model. The record is from RNAcentral. Lineage: Bacteria; Bacillati; Bacillota.